This 259-nucleotide long non-coding RNA is filed under the name Mytilus galloprovincialis (Mediterranean mussel). The record is from RNAcentral. Lineage: Eukaryota; Metazoa; Mollusca; Bivalvia; Mytilida; Mytilidae.
CACUUGUGACUACCGCAAUUUGCGUUCAAUGACAAGGCGCUUACUCGUAACUCGAAUAUUUCAUGCCCUUCUCGUUAUCAUUCCUACUCUCGGUAGAUGAUAUUGUCAUCAUAGAGCAUCAGAAUGUGUCGACUUAAUCAUUUUCGUUAGAUUACUCGAAGAAAUACAAAAACGAAAUUUGAAACAGGAAGUUUUGAAUGAAACAAAAUUAUCGAUGGUUCCCGGUAAUGGACAUGAACAAAAUCCGGAAAUCAUAUUU